CAUGAAGUUGGAAUCGCUAGUAAUCGCGGAUCAGCAUGCCGCCGGUGAAUACGUUCCCGGGCCUUGUACACACCGCCCGUCACACCAUGAGAGUCGGGAACACCCGAAGUCCGUAGCCUGACCGCAAGGGGGCGCGGCCGAAGGUGGGUUCGAUAAUUGGGGUGAAGUCGUAACAAGGUAGC
Molecule: ribosomal RNA, 182 nt
Filed under: uncultured bacterium
Lineage: Bacteria
Description: partial 16S ribosomal RNA
Rfam family: Bacterial small subunit ribosomal RNA
Source: RNAcentral